GAUGAAGAACGUAGCGAAAUGCGAUAAGUAAUGUGAAUUGCAGAAUUCAGUGAAUCAUCGAAUCUUUGAACGCACCUUGCACCCUUUGGCAUUCCGAAGGGUAUGCUCGUUUGAGUGUCAUUGUACUCUCACACUCCCAAUUGCUUUGGAUUGGGAGCGGUGGACUUGGGUGUUGCUGCUUGACUGAGGCUCACCUGAAAUAUGUUAGUGCACCUCUUGAUUGGACAUAGUACGGCGUGAUAAGUGUCUUCGCCGGCUCCUCACAAAGAGGGUGGCCGAUCGGGAGCUCUGUUGCUUCAAACUGUCUUCGGACAAUCUUCUGGCGACUUGACCUCAAAUCGAGUAGGACUACCCGCUGAACUUAAGCAUAUCAAUAAGCGGAGGA
This 385-nucleotide unclassified non-coding RNA is filed under the name soil metagenome. Its description in RNAcentral is "partial contains 5.8S ribosomal RNA, internal transcribed spacer 2, and large subunit ribosomal RNA". The stretch from base 1 to 120 matches the Rfam family "5.8S ribosomal RNA", at positions 35 to 154 of the family's 154-position model. The record is from RNAcentral.